GGGAAUGUGGCUUAGUGGUAGAGUGCUUGCCUAGUAAGCAUGAAGCCCUUAGGUUCAUUUCCU
Molecule: transfer RNA, 63 nt
Filed under: Dipodomys ordii (Ord's kangaroo rat)
Lineage: Eukaryota; Metazoa; Chordata; Mammalia; Rodentia; Heteromyidae
Rfam family: tRNA
About the family: Transfer RNA (tRNA) molecules are approximately 80 nucleotides in length. Their secondary structure includes four short double-helical elements and three loops (D, anti-codon, and T loops). Further hydrogen bonds mediate the characteristic L-shaped molecular structure. tRNAs have two regions of fundamental functional importance: the anti-codon, which is responsible for specific mRNA codon recognition, and the 3' end, to which the tRNAs corresponding amino acid is attached (by aminoacyl-tRNA synthetases). tRNAs cope with the degeneracy of the genetic code in two manners: having more than one tRNA (with a specific anti-codon) for a particular amino acid; and 'wobble' base-pairing, i.e. permitting non-standard base-pairing at the 3rd anti-codon position.
Source: Rfam by way of RNAcentral